GCCCGGGUAGCUCAGUUGGUAGAGCAGAGGAUUGAAAAUCCUCGUGUCGGUGGUUCAAUUCCGCCCCCGGGCACCA
This 76-nucleotide transfer RNA is filed under the name Rhodospirillaceae bacterium. RNAcentral's name for it is "tRNA-Phe". It matches the Rfam family "tRNA". From Rfam's summary of the family: Transfer RNA (tRNA) molecules are approximately 80 nucleotides in length. The record is from RNAcentral. Lineage: Bacteria; Pseudomonadati; Pseudomonadota; Alphaproteobacteria; Rhodospirillales; Rhodospirillaceae.